CGAGCUUGCCAAGUACGUCUCCCACCCUGCAACAAAGGAAAAGUAGCAACCUGGUAUUCUAAAAACAAAAUGUCACGCAAGAAAAGUGAAAUUUGGCUGCAUUUUUCAGAGGAGAAGGAAAGCAGCGUACAAUGUCGCUACUGUGACAAAAAACUUGCAGUGGGAAACAAGUCGACGUUUAACCUUAUACGGCACAUGAAUGCAAAACAUCCAACGCAAGUUAUACACAGGCAGGAGGCGCCAGGAGAACCAACUCCGAACAAUACCUCAGGUAGUGAAGUACGCAAUGUACAAGGAACGCAAACAUCGUCAGUCUCAGCUGUUGCUCCACCAUGUCCAUCAGUUUUACAAUUUUUAAAUAAGCCUCUUACAAUAAAAAAGCAAGCUGAAAUC
Rhagoletis pomonella (apple maggot) is the source of this 393-nucleotide long non-coding RNA. RefSeq lists it as uncharacterized. The transcript is spliced from 2 exons. Lineage: Eukaryota; Metazoa; Arthropoda; Insecta; Diptera; Tephritidae. The record is from RefSeq and is a predicted model, not a curated record.